UACGUAGGGUGCAAGCGUUAAUCGGAAUUACUGGGCGUAAAGCGUGCGCAGGCGGUUUUGUAAGUCUGACGUGAAAUCCCCGGGCUCAACCUGGGAAUUGCGUUGGAGACUGCAAGGCUAGAAUCUGGCAGAGGGGGGUAGAAUUCCACGUGUAGCAGUGAAAUGCGUAAAGAUGUGGAGGAACACCGAUGGCGAAGGCAGCCCCCUGGGUCAAGAUUGACGCUCAUGCACGAAAGCGUGGGGAGCAAACAGG
RNAcentral lists this ribosomal RNA (253 nucleotides) under uncultured bacterium. Its description in RNAcentral is "partial 16S ribosomal RNA". It matches the Rfam family "Bacterial small subunit ribosomal RNA", at positions 524 to 776 of the family's 1533-position model. The record is from RNAcentral.